This is a long non-coding RNA of Colossoma macropomum (tambaqui), 788 nucleotides long. RefSeq lists it as uncharacterized. Lineage: Eukaryota; Metazoa; Chordata; Actinopteri; Characiformes; Serrasalmidae. The transcript is spliced from 3 exons. The record is from RefSeq and is a predicted model, not a curated record.
AUACCACUUGGGGAGCGGAGCCACCACUGACAGCACGAUACACGGAGACGGUGACCGCUCCGUUAAUUUCAGAAACAAGAAAUAAAACCUAGAAAAACAUUACAAACACUGCGCUGCUCACAGUACAGCGUUCGUGCCUGAUUAUGUUUGUUUUCCUGCAAGAAAAGCGCAGUACGGCGCUUCCCAUGAUGCACUGCGCGCUGAAUAUUUAACAAACUGCUCAAACGCGCGGUUUACAUUUUAAAAUCGGGAAGGUUUACAGCUUUACUCGAGGUGCAGCGGCAUCAUGUUAAAAAAUACAAAGCUGCGGAACAUCCGUCUACUUUAGAAAGACAAUGGGUCCAGAGUCAGUUUAAGGGGGGCUCCGCCACUUUCUGUUCCUCCGGUUAUGCCAGAAGCAUGACUGUGAAACGCUGGAGGGCGAAAACGAGAGAGAAUGAGGGUGAAAGAGGCUAAACGGCGAAAAAUAUUCAACACGAACUCAGACACUUCAGAAAACACGAGAGGCGCUCUGACCAGCCUGUCUGUACUGACAGCCUCGGUUUGUGAGAUUCAACACAGACUCAGACACUUCAGAAAACACAAGAGGCGCUCUGACCAGCCUGUCUGUACUGACAGCCUCAUUUUAUGAGGUCAGGAACAACACACGAUUAAAGAUUACAAAUAAUGUUUUGGUUUAAUAAAUGUUAAAAUAACAAAAAUUCAUGUUGUUGCUGUUUUCUGGUAUUGGGUUAUAGCCAGUUUGAUGUGCAGUGUCAUUAGAAAAUAAAAUUACGCAUUUUAAUACA